GGUCUAUUAGCUCAGUUGGGAGAGCGUCUGGGUGACAACCAGAAGGUCAUUGGUUCAAGUCCAAUAUAGGCCACCA
RNAcentral lists this transfer RNA (76 nucleotides) under Clostridiales bacterium. RNAcentral's name for it is "tRNA-Val". It matches the Rfam family "tRNA". From Rfam's summary of the family: Transfer RNA (tRNA) molecules are approximately 80 nucleotides in length. Lineage: Bacteria; Bacillati; Bacillota; Clostridia; Eubacteriales. RNAcentral also lists the same sequence under 1 other name. The record is from RNAcentral.